RNAcentral lists this long non-coding RNA (390 nucleotides) under Mytilus galloprovincialis (Mediterranean mussel). Lineage: Eukaryota; Metazoa; Mollusca; Bivalvia; Mytilida; Mytilidae. The record is from RNAcentral.
GAUACGUUUCCCUACAUUUGCGGAUUUCAAGGUCACAGUUACGACGACCAUGAUGUAAGUCUUGGCAGUGUUCUGGGCUACAGUGACAUUCAGUGUACCUACAUCUGUGCUUUCAGAAACGAUUGCCACGCAGCUGACUUCAACAAAAAGACCUUAACAUGUUCCUUGAUGAAUACAACAUCUAGAUCUAAUGUCCUUAUGAUUAAUCCAGACCAUGAUGUUUUUCUCGUCAACUAAACUUUACUUAUUUAUGUUCGUAAAUAAACAACAUUUCAUAAGUCAUGUGCGUCUGAAGCUGUUUUUUUAAUACUUUCAUGGCAAACUCUCAAACAAAAAAAAAAUAAAAAAAUAUCUGGUCGUUUACAAUGAUUUAAACGUCUUUCGGAAAGC